Molecule: long non-coding RNA, 105 nt
Organism: Helianthus annuus (common sunflower)
Lineage: Eukaryota; Viridiplantae; Streptophyta; Magnoliopsida; Asterales; Asteraceae
Exons: 4
Source: RefSeq, a predicted model, not a curated record
CAAUAGCAGCGCCGGGCAGCUAAGUUGGUAUGGAAGAACUGCUGCGCCGCGGGAAAUCCUUCUCUAUACAAGUUCUCGGACGAGGUUUUUGAACAGAACUUUGCA